This 497-nucleotide ribosomal RNA is filed under the name uncultured bacterium. Its description in RNAcentral is "partial 16S ribosomal RNA". It matches the Rfam family "Bacterial small subunit ribosomal RNA", at positions 28 to 507 of the family's 1533-position model. The record is from RNAcentral.
GAUGAACGCUGGCGGCGUGCCUAAUACAUGCAAGUCGAGCGAACGGACGAGAAGCUUGCUUCUCUGAUGUUAGCGGCGGACGGGUGAGUAUCACGUGGAUAACCUACCUAUAAGACUGGGAUAACUUCGGGAAACCGUAGCUAAUACCGGAUAAUAUUUUGAACCGCAUGGUUCAAAAGUGAAAGACGGUCUUGCUGUCACUUAUAGAUGGAUCCGCGCUGCAUUAGCUAGUUGGUAAGGUAACGGCUUACCAAGGCAACGAUGCAUAGCCGACCUGAGAGGGUGAUCGGCCACACUGGAACUGAGACACGGUCCAGACUCCUACGGGAGGCAGCAGUAGGGAAUCUUCCGCAAUGGGCGAAAGCCUGACGGAGCAACGCCGCGUGAGUGAUGAAGGUCUUCGGAUCGUAAAACUCUGUUAUUAGGGAAGAACAUAUGUGUAAGUAACUGUGCACAUCUUGACGGUACCUAAUCAGAAAGCCACGGCUAACUACGUG